This is a ribosomal RNA of 5997 nucleotides. The stretch from base 62 to 2162 matches the Rfam family "Bacterial large subunit ribosomal RNA".
UGAAUUAUCAUUAAAAGAAAUGAUAUAGAAUAUAUUAUUUUAUUUUAUUUUUUAAAUAUUUUAAAUAUAUAGAAAGAAACUAUUAGGGAAUCAUUGCAAUAUAUCAAAGAGAGAAAUUUUAAAUUGUAUAAAUAUACAUGAACUCUAAGAGAAAUUCAGUAAUAAACAAAGCAAAUUGAAAUAUCUUAGCAACUUUAGGAAAAGAAAUCAAAAGAGAUUCUAUGAUUAGUGAGAAUGAAAAUAGAGAAGCCUUCCAAUUCAUAUGGUAAAGAAAAAGGGUUUAGGAACAAAAGUAGUAGAUAAUAAUAUUAAAACAUUAUUAAUAUUUUUAAGCAAAAUUUUUAAAAUUUAGAUUAAUAUUAAGUAAAUAAAAGUUUUAUAAUAAAUACUAUAUUAUAAAAAUCUAUGUAAACUUAAAACCCAUAGUAUUGAAGCAAAUUUUGUUUUUAUCAAAAUAAAAAUAAGUAAAAUGGGUUAAAGCCUGUUUGAAGAAGUAAAGGGGAACCUUCCUCUAAGGCUAAAUAUGAUAUAUUGAGCGAUAGUGAAGAAGUACCGUGAGGGAAAGGAAAAAUUAGUAGUUUUAUAAGCAGCUUGAGAAGUAAAUUUAAAUAAUAUUAAGAGCGUACCUUUUGCAUAAUGGGUCAGCAAGUUAAUAUUAGAUGCGAGCAGUAAUAGCCAAGAUAACUCGAUCAAUACAACAGUGAGAAGUAUCUAAAAUUAGACCCGAAGCCUAGUGAUCUUACCAUGAUCACAGUUAUAAAAGCUGGAACGGGUUAUUGUUGCAUAAAUAUCCGAAGAAUUGUGGUAAGUUGGUGAAAGAUAAAACUGACUAGGGAUAGCUGGUUUUCCGCGAAACGUAUCUAAGUACGUAAUUAUUACUAACAUCAUGCAGGUACAGAACUAAGAUCUUACUAGGCUAGUCGAAGAGAUAUUUUUCAACAAGAUCGGGGAAUCGUGAAGAUUUUAUCGUUAAGUAAUAGGUCUCGAAAUAGCAGGGAUGAAUGUUUAAUUAACAGACAUGGUAUGCUAAGGUUGCAUGUCGAGAGGGAAACAGCCCAGAACAAGAGUAAAUAUAAGGUUCCAAAAUUAUUGUUAAUACGAAGUGAAAUGAAGAGAGUUUUUAUCUAUUUCGAUCAGAUGAUGGGCUUAGUGGCGGCCAUUUUUUAAAGACCUCGUAACAGAGUUACUGAUUCAAACACCGGAAACUUCCGGUGGAUAGAGACACCAAAAAUAUAUCGGAUCAAAACAAUAUACCGACACCUUGUCCAUAAUUAUAGUUGGUAUCCAUAUUAAGAGAUGGUCUGUCUAAUUUAAUUUUGGGGUAGCGGAACGUUGGGUAAUAUUAUUAAAUUAUUCUUUUUAAGAAUAAAAACACAUUAACCCAAGUGAGGAUGCUGACAUGAGUAACGAAAAAGGAAAAUUUUCCUCGCCUUAAGCUUAUGGCUUAUAUGAAGUAACGGCCUCUAAGUUAAUUGACCUAAUGGUCUAAACGAUGAAAAAAUCUAGGUUUAUUGCGACAACCUUGUAUGAGUGUAUAAGUGUUCUGGAAAAGCAAUUAAACAAGGUAAGGUAUAAAAGCGCUAUAAAUUAGUGUUUACUUUACCAUGAAAACCGUACCUAAGAACCAUGAGGUAAGCUAGUAGAGAAUACGAAGGCGCUUGAGUGAACAAUCAUUAAGGAACUCGGCAAACUAACUACCGUAACUUUGGGAGAAGGAGUGCCGACCCUACCGUUUAAUAUCGGUUGGGGUAAGGAAGCAUAGAAUCGUGUUGUCCGACUGUUUAAUUAAAACAAAGCACGCUGCAUUAAGAUGAAAGUCUAAGUAUAGAGUGUGAUGUCUGCCCGAUGCCGGCUGGUUAACGGAGUUUCUGGACUGCAUUUGAUUUAUGAAUGUUGGUCUGGUUUUGAAGGAUACCCCGGUUAAUGGCGGCCUUAACUAUGAGGGUCCAAAGGUAGCGAAAUACCUUGGCUACUAAAUAUAGUCUCGCAUGAAUGAUGUAACGAUACAACAGCUGUCUCGAUGAUUGGCUCAGUGAAAUUGGAAUGGCUGUGCAGAUACAGUCUACCUCUAGAUAGACGAGAAGACCCUAUGCAGCUUUACUGUUUCUAGUCAUUGCGUGUGAUCGGACCAACAGUAGGAAUAAGGUAGUCUUAUACGUAAUUGAAACACCUUUAUUAAUAAUUAAAUUUUCAAUAAAAAUUUUAGGGUAUUUACCCUUUACUUUAAAUUAAUUUUUCUAGCCGAGGGUAAAAGCCCCGGAGAGAAUUUUAAUAUAUUAAUUAGACGCUUUAACCGAUGAAUAAAACAAGUGGCGUUAUCUGGUUCGAAUCCAGAAAAUUAUCCAGAGGGCUGACCCCCCAGCUGGAUAUGUCGAGCUUCUUUAUUUUAGGGAUCGGCGCUAAGGUGUAUUAGCUAAGCUAUGUAACUAUAAAUCUUGAAUAAAAACCAAUCGAAAAGAAUAAUUAUUAUGGAACAAACAGAAUGCCAUCAUAUUUGUGUGCUUCUAAGAGCGGUGAUGGGGUUAAAGAUAAGUCUUUAACUGGGAAAUUCGGCUAAAAACAUGAGGGACUAAGAAUUUCAAUCAUAAAAUCUGAAAUCAUUUAAGAUCCUGUCUGGAAAUCGAUAAUAUAGAAGGUUUCCCGCGGGGAAAAGACCACGGGAUCUGUCGUAUUUAAUAGAAAACGUUUGAUGUCAAGAGGAAAUUUUACAGCCUUAAUGUCUAAUACAUCUUAUUCUAAUUUAAUUAAAAGUCACAAAUAUCUUUAACAAUAAUAAAUUGCGCCUAAAAGGCGCUAAAUUAAAUAAAAAAAUUACUGGGGAUUACAUAGCAGGAUUUGUACAAGGGGAAGGUUUAUUUUCAGCGAAUUUAACUAAAAGAACAAGAAAUAAACAAGAUUAUUACCAUAUAGAUUUAAAGUUUACACUUCAAGUAAAUCAAGAAUAUAAAAAUUUAAUAUUAGAAAUACAAAAUCAAUUAGGUAAUAUAGGUUUUUGACGUUCAGUUGUUAAAAAUAAAACAAUAAUAUAUGAGGUAAAAAAUCAGAUUGAUUUAUUAAAUAUAAUUAUACCAUUUUUUAUGAAAUACCAGCUUAGAGGUGAAAAGCUAAAUAGCUUUUUACGAUUUAAGUAUAUAGCCGAAGUAUUGCAUACUAAGGCACAUCUAAAUAAUAAAGACAUUUUAUUAAGUUUAGUAAUUAUAGCAAGCCAAAUUAAUAAAGACAAGUUAGGAAAUAAAAUCAGAUAUCUGAAACCUGAUCAAAUAUAUUAUGUUAUAAAUAACAUUCAACCUGAAGGGGUUGAUAUAAGUAAAUUAAAGGAGAGUCUUGAUAAUGUAAAAUUAAACCCUUUAUCUCUUGAUUUCGUUUGUGGUUUAGUUGAGUCUAACUCUGAUAAUUUUAAAAAGCUAAAUAUAGAAGAUCAAAAUUUUAUUAGAGAUAAUUUUUACCUAAAGGUGUAGAACUUUGAAAGUUCAAAGAACAUCAUCUAGAUCUUAACAAUAAUUUUACCCUUGCUAAAAAAAAUUCUUUAGUAGUUUUUGGUAAGAAUUUAAGAUGUACGGUAGGUGAUAGAUUUAGUCUUAAGGAAUUAGCAAUGGUAAAAUUACCAAAUCAUGUUAAAUAUAUAAUUAUAGGGUUAAUACUUUCUGAUGGAUAUUUCGGUAAAGGUCAAAGGAAUAAAAAUGUAUGAUUAGGCUUUAGCCAGUCUAUUAUUCACUCAAAAUAAUUUUUUUCGGUCUUUUUCUCUUUAUCUCAUUAUUGUGGCACAUACCCUAUUAAUAAUAGUAGGAUUGAUACACGGAACAAUAAAUCUUCAAUUAAAUUACAAUUAUCUACUAGAACAAUGCCUUGUUUAACAGAGUUAUAUCAUUUAUUUUAUGUCAAUGGUAUUAAAAAAGUUCCAGUGAAUAUAUAUGAUUUACUAACACCUAUAGCAUUUGCUCAAUGAAUUAUGGGAGAUGGUUCUAAAGGUAAUGGUACUGGUUUAUUAUUAUGUACUGAUUCAUAUUCUAUACUAGAUAUUGUAAGGUUAAUUAACGUACUAAUUAUUAAAUAUAGGUUAGAUUGUAGUAUACGAAAACAUGGUAACUACUACCGAAUUUACAUUGCUCAACGUUCUAUACCUUUGUUAAGAUCAAUUGUUCUUUCUUACAUGGAAGAAUCUAUGUUAUAUAAAUUACAAUUAUAAUAAUAAAGUAAUAGGAGCUAAGGGUGGGAUGACUUCAAGGUUUAUACUUUAAAUAUUAAAAUAGGGUUCAUUUUCAGCAGUAUUGACAAGCAAAACAAGAGAUUCAAAACGAUAUUUUAAUAUCUCGUUGGUUUUUACUAUUGUGCAGCAUGAAAAAUAUAAAGAUCUUAUUUUAGAAAUUCAAAAAUAUUUUGGGGGGUAUAGGUAACUGGUAUUUUAAUAAAAACGAUAAAACGAUAAGAUAUCAGGUAAAUAAACAAAGUGAUUUAUUAAAUGGCUGUGCAGAUACAGUCUACCUCUAGAUAGACGAGAAGACCCUAUGCAGCUUUACUGUUUCUAGUCAUUGCGUGUGAUCGGACCAACAGUAGGAAUAAGGUAGUCUUAUACGUAAUUGAAACACCUUUUUGAGUCUAUCACAUUGCUGGGGACAAUAGCGUCUUCCAUUUUACUUUGAAUCAAAGAAAAUGACUUAAUCUAUUUAUUAACCAGUGUUAAUUAUUCAAUAAUGGUAUAAAAUGUGAAUAUGACUAUUGUUGCCUGAGAAUUGUGUUAAGUGAAUUUCAUUUAACAAAAAAAGUUCGUGACACGGCCGUGCACGCGACACGAAUGAUUUGACCGCUUUUGGCGAUUCUAAAUAACUACAGGGUAGUGUGUUUUUUUCACAAGUACAUAAAAGUUGAUUUACACAAGGUAAUAAGUAAUGAGAACAACGGCUAGGUGGCAGUUUAUGCGGGGCACAGAUCCCAUAAAGAGUAGCUGGGUAUAUCCUAAAUUUUAGAAAAAUUUGGGGAAAAAGAUAUAUUUUUUUCUUUUGAGUUUUUAUUUAAUAUAUAAAUUUUAUAUAAAUUUAAGAUUUCUUAAGACGAAUCUGUAUAUAAGCGGAUAAGAUAUUUUACUUAUUCCCAUAUGUAUUUAAUCAUUAUCUUUUUAUGUAAAGUAGAAUUUAAAUUUUUAAAGCAAGUAAGAUUUUAACUAUAUCGGUAAUAGGUGUAAUAAAGAGAAUUAACAUUUUUUUAGCCGAAAAAUUAAAAUUUUUCGACAUUCGCACGUUUUCGCGGAAGUCUUUUGCGAGUUUAAUCAUCUUCAGGAUGCUAUCGAAAGGAUUUAGUAUCAGUGGGUCUUGGCUCUCGUAAAGAAUAUAAGAUGUAAUUAUGUAUUUAAAGUUGCUAAAAUCCAAUAUAUCAAUAUUGUGAAUAGUGAUUUUGAUAAUAACUUGACAAGUUUAAUGGCAUAAUCUUGCUUAACUGUCUGACCUACGCGUCUAUCAGUCGCGUAAGCGGGGCAUACGAUCAUGAAAUUCACAAAGGUCUGGUUUCAUAUCAUAGAAUAAAGUUACGCUAGGGAUAACAGGCUGAUUGCGCUUGAGAGUACACAUUGGGAGCGCAGUUUGGCACCUCGAUGUCGGCUUAGCUUAUCCUCAUGAACGCAGGAAGCAUGAAGGGUACGACUGUUCGUCGUUUAAAAAGCUACACGAGCUGGGUUAAGUAUUUAGCCCCUACAUAACGAGAGUUAUGUUUUUAUAUUAAAAAAUAAUAUAAAAAUCGUCUCUACCUUAUAAGAUUAUGAGCACGAUUGAAACACUGACAGAAAACGGUGAAGGCUAAGGUUUGAAUUUAUUUGAACUAAGUUAAUACCGUGGGAGAGCUAAGUAAAUAAAUAUUUAUUUGUCUUAAAGGCUUCCCGUAAAGACUCAAUAUAUUAAUAUUGGACUUAUAGUAAAAGAAUUCUAUAGGUAAUUCCGUCAGCAAUUUAAUAAUUAAUUCAAUGUUUUUUUAACAAUUUAAUAAUAAUUAAAUUUUCAAUAAAAAUUU